AAGUCGUAACAAGGUCUCCGUAGGUGAACCUGCGGAGGGAUCAUUAACACAUUCCAAAACAACUCUCUUCAUUACCUUUGGCAACAAAGGUAUAUGAAACCCUAUUCACUAGCGAACCCAGGGCUGGGAGGAUGCGUCUUAUAUUAAUUAUAAUUAAUUAAUUAAUUAAUUAAUUAAUUAGUUAUGAGCUCCGCGCCUCUCACUGACCCUUAUUUCCUUUUUCCAUUUCCUUUUAUUUUAAACCCCAACAAAACAAACAUGCUUUUUUUAAACGUCUGAUUGAGACUUCCUCACCGAAGUCUCGUUGUUCUUCGAAAGAAGAGCAAUGAAAACUAAGAAUCUAAAAAUUAAGAAAACAACUCUUAGCAACGGAUAUCUUGGUUCUC
This 386-nucleotide unclassified non-coding RNA is filed under the name fungal sp. Its description in RNAcentral is "partial internal transcribed spacer region". The stretch from base 1 to 46 matches the Rfam family "Eukaryotic small subunit ribosomal RNA", at positions 1786 to 1831 of the family's 1831-position model. Lineage: Eukaryota; Fungi. The record is from RNAcentral.